AUAAUAUGUGCUCAUUCCAUCUUUAGACACGACUCCCACCCUCGGGCUUGUUGUUGAACUUGCUAAGUCGCUUACGAACAUGUAUUUUCACUUGCAAAUUUUUAAUCCCUUCUUACCACGUGAAAUCUAAAAAUAAAUAUUAGGUUAUAUGAAAUAACAAUUUGUUACGAUAUAUUGUGUCUUACCGAUGGAAUAAUUGAGUUAAACAAAGCUGAGGGAAUGACAAAACCAUAGACUCAUAGAGUUUUGAACUCCUCAGUUUGUCCAUCGACUCGCAAAUAUCAGGCCAUUGUUCUCUCAACCUCAUUCAAUCUUUUUACUUUAAGAUAUAUAUUUUAAGAUCUGAAUACCAGCCAUGAAAAACGUAUUUAUUCUAAUAGCCAUUGGAGUUGUGUUUGCUACCAUUUACAGUGGUGCUAUAGCUGAAGAUGGCGACGACCAGGGAGAAAAUGUAGGAAUCAAAUUUGGCUCCGUGGAUAAUCAGAGGAGAAUGAUCGAAUUGGAUUCGUGGAAAAGAAAGAAGCGUGACAUUUUAUUUUCAAACAAUGCAGAUGACAUUGCUCUUUUUUAUUGACUUCAUUUGGACAACAAUAUCAAAGGAAUACAACAAUCAUCGAUGCAUCGUUUGUUACGUAAUUACGUAUAAUGUUAUUAUAUUUUUGAGUUGAUAAAAAUUAGGAAUUUAAUAAAAUGUUAUAUGUAUGAA
Non-coding RNA from Styela clava, 706 nucleotides. The record is from RefSeq and is a predicted model, not a curated record. Lineage: Eukaryota; Metazoa; Chordata; Ascidiacea; Stolidobranchia; Styelidae.